UAGAUUUUUCCAGCAGAAAAA
This 21-nucleotide non-coding RNA is filed under the name Caenorhabditis elegans. The record is from RNAcentral. Lineage: Eukaryota; Metazoa; Nematoda; Chromadorea; Rhabditida; Rhabditidae.